RNAcentral lists this ribosomal RNA (407 nucleotides) under uncultured Leptolyngbya sp. RNAcentral describes it as "bacterial SSU rRNA". It matches the Rfam family "Bacterial small subunit ribosomal RNA", at positions 355 to 776 of the family's 1533-position model. Lineage: Bacteria; Bacillati; Cyanobacteriota; Cyanophyceae; Leptolyngbyales; Leptolyngbyaceae. The record is from RNAcentral.
UGGGGAAUUUUCCGCAAUGGGCGAAAGCCUGACGGAGCAAUACCGCGUGAGGGAGGACGGCUUUUGGGUUGUAAACCUCUUUUAUCAGGGAAGAAACAAAUGACGGUACCUGAUGAAUCAGCAUCGGCUAACUCCGUGCCAGCAGCCGCGGUAAUACGGAGGAUGCAAGCGUUAUCCGGAAUUAUUGGGCGUAAAGCGUCCGUAGGUGGUUUUUCAAGUCUGCUGUCAAAGCGUGGAGCUCAACUCCAUAACGGCAGUGGAAACUGGGAGACUAGAGUGCGAUAGGGGUAACGGGAAUUCCCAGUGUAGCGGUGAAAUGCGUAGAGAUUGGGAAGAACACCAGCGGCGAAAGCGCGUUACUGGGUCUGCACUGACACUGAGGGACGAAAGCUAGGGGAGCGAAAGGG